UGGAACUCUGGCCCAAGGCUCUCUGACUGACUCCUUCCCAGAUCUUCUCGGCUUAGCGGCUGAAGACCGACGCUGCCGGAUCGUCUCGGAAGCCCCGUAGACCAUCACGGACGCCGAGCUUUAAGUAACUCUCACAGUGGACGGUAAGUCCGUCCCCUUCUUAAUCAAUACGGAGGCUACCCACUCCACAUUACCCUCUUUUCAAGGGCCUGUUUCCCUUGCCUCCAUAACUGUUGUAGGUAUUGACAGCCAGGCUUCUAAACCUCUUAAAACUCCCCAACUCUGGUGCCAACUUAGACAACACUCUUUUAUGCACUCCUUUUAGUUAUCCCCACCUGCCCAGUUUCCUUAUUAGGCCGAGACACUUUAACUAAAUUAUCUGCUUCCCUGACUAUUCCUGGACUACAGCUACAUCUCAUUGCCUCCCUUCUUCCCAAUCCAAAGCCUCCUUCAUGUCCUCCUCUUGUAUUCCCCAACCUUAACCCACAAGUAUAAGAUACCUCUACUCCCUCCUUGGCGACCGAUCAUGCACCCCUUACCAUCUCAUUAAAACCUAAUCAGCCUUAUCCCGCUCAAUGCCAAUAUCCCAUCCCACAGCAUGCUUUGAAAGGAUUAAAGCCUGUUAUCACUGGCUUGCUACAGCAUGGCCUUUUAAAGCCCAUAAACUCUCCUUACAAUUCCCCCAUUUUACCUGUCCUAAAACCAGACAAGCCUUACAAGUUAGUUCAGGAUCUGCGCCUUAUCAACCAAAUUGUUUUGCCUAUCCACCCCAUGGUGCCAAACCCGUAUACUCUCCUAUCCUCAAUACCUCCCUCCACAAUCUGUUAUUCUGUUCUGGAUCUCAAACAUGCUUGCUUUACUAUUGCUUUGCACCCUUCAUCUCACCCUUUCUUCGCUUUCACUUGGACUGACCCUGACACCCAUCAGGCUCAGCAAAUUACCUGGGCUGUACUGCCGUAAAGCUUCACAGACAGCCCCCAUUACUUCAGUCAAGCCCAAAUUUCUUCCUCAUCUGUUAUCUAUCUCAGCAUAAUUCUCAUAAAAACACACGUGCUCUCCCUGCCAAUUGUGUCCAAUUAAUCUGUCAAACCCCAACCCCUUCUACAAAACAACAACUCCUUUCCUUCCUGGGCAUAGUUAGAUACUUUCACCUUUAGAUACCUGGUUUUGCCAUCCUAACAAAACCAUCAUAUAAACUCACAAAAAGCCUGUUUCUCACCCUGAUCACACUUAGUUUAUUGACGGCAGUUCCACCAGGCCUAAUCACCACACACCAGCAAAAGCAGGCUAUGCUAUAGUACAAGCCACUAGCCUGCCUCUUAAAACCUCUCAUUUCCUUUCCAUCGUAGAAAUCUAUCCUCAAGGAAAUAACUUCUCAAUGUUCCAUCUGCUAUUCUACUACUCCUCAGGGAUUAUUCAGGCCCCCUCCCUUCCCUACACAUCAAGCUUAGGGAUUUGCCCCCGCCCAGAACUGGCAAAUUAGCUUUACUCAACAUGCCCCGAGUCAGGAAACUAAAAUACCUCUUAGUCUAAGUAGACACUUUCACUAGAUAAGUAGAGAUCUUUCCUUCAGGGUCUGAGAAGGCCACCGCAGUCAUUUCUUCCCUUCUGUCAGACGUAAUUCCUCAGUUUAGCCUUCCCACCUCUAUACAGUCUGAUAACAGACCAGCCUUUAUUAGUCAAAUCAGCCAAGCAGUUUUUCAGGCUCUUAGUAUUCAGUGAAACCUUUAUAUCCCUUACAGUCCUCAGUCUUCAAGAAAAGUAGAACAGACUAAAGGUCUUUUAAAAACACACUUCACCAAGCUCAGCCACCAACUUAAAAAAGAAUAGACAAUACUUUUACCACUUUCCCUUUCAGAAGUCAGGCCUGUCCUCAGAAUGCUACAAAGUACAGCUCAUUUAAGCUCCUGUAUAGAUGCUCCUUUUUAUUAGGCCCCAGUCUCAUUCCAGACACCAGACCAACUUGGACUGUGCCGCAAAAAACUUGUCAUCCCUACUGUCUUCUGUCUAGUCAUACUCCUAUUCACCAUUCUCAACUACUCAUACAUGCCCUGCUCUUGUUUACAUUGCCGGUUUACACUGUUUCUCCAAGCUAUCACAGCUGAUAUCUCCUGGUGCUAUCCCCAAACCGUCACUCUUAACUGUUAAAGUAAAUAAAUAAGCUUUGCUGGUAAGGCUAUGCUGAACCUCCUUAGGCAUUCUCUAAUUAGAUGUCCUAAGUCCUCCCAGUUCUUAGUCCUUUUUUUUUUAUUAUUAUUAUUAUACUUUAAGUUUUAGGGUACAUGUGCACCUGUUUUUCUCCUUCUCUUAUUCUGUUUAGUUUUUCAAUUCAUACAAAACUGUAUCCAGGCCAUCACCAAUAAUUCUAAAUGACAAAUGUUUCUUCUAACAACCCCACAAUAUCACCCCUUACCACAAAAUCUUCCUUCAGCUUAAUCUCUCCCACUCUAGGUUCCCACGCCGCCCCUAGUCCCGCUUGAAGCAGCCCGGAGAAACAUCGCCCAUUAUCUCUCCAUACCACCCCCAAAAAUUUUCGCCAUCCCAACACUUUACCACUGUUUUGUUUUAUUUUAUAAAUAAAUUAAUUAUUAAGAAUAUAUAUUUAUUUUAUAAAUAAAUUAAUUAUUAAUAUAAGAAGACAGGAAUGCCAGGCCUCUGAGCCCAAGCUAAGCCAUCAUAUCCCCUGUGACCUGCACAUACACAUCCAGAUGGCCGGUUCCUGCCUUAACUGAUGACAUUCCACCACAAAAGAAGUGAAAAUGGCCUGUUCCUGCCUUAACUGUGACAUUGUCUUGUGAAAUUCCUUCUCCUGGCUCAUCCUGGCUCAAAAGCUCCCCUACUGAGUACCUUGUGACCCCCACUCCUGCCUGCCAGAGAACAACCCCCCUUUUUCCUUUACCUACCCAAAUCCUAUAAAAUGGCCCCACCCCUAUCUCCCUUCGCUGACUCUCUUUUCAGACUCAGCCCGCCUGCACCCAGGUGAUUAAAAGCUUUAUUGCUCACACAAAGCCUGUUUGGUGGUCUCUUCACAUGGACGUGUGUGAAACCAGCUACUUGGGAAGUGGAGGCAGGAGGAUCGCUUGUGUCUAGGAGGUCAAAGCUGCACUGAGUUAUGACGGCAUCACUGCACUCCAGCCUAGGUGACUCAGUGAAACCCAGUUCAAAAAAUUAUUUUUUUAAAAAAAGAGUGUAGAAAGAGUUCAACAACAAAGGAGUAGCACAGGAUAUUUGGGUAUGCAGGGGGUAAGACAGUGAUGGAACUGUUCUAUUUCUUGAUUGUGAUGAUGGUUAUAUUAGUUUGUACAUUUGUUAAGACUCAUAGAACUAUAUACCAAUAAGAGUGAUUUUUGCAGUAUGUAAAUUUUAAAACAAAUUAAGAAAAUGUAUUGAAAAUAAAAUCAUAGACCGCAAUACCAUUGUAUUAGUUUCCUAUGGCUGCUGUGACAAGUAACCACAAACUUGGUGAUUUUAAACAACAUGAAUGUACUUUUCCGUAGUUCUAGAGGCCAGAAGUCCAAGAUGAGUCUUACAGAGCUAAAAUCAAGGUGUAGACAGGCCCAGGCUCCUCCUGGAGGUUGCCUCCUCCAACUACUGGUGGCCAUUGGCAUUUCUUGGCUUGUGGCUGCAUCACUCCAAUCUCUGUUUCCAUGGUCAUAUUAAUUUCUCUUCUUUUUUCUGUGUGAAUUGUGCCUUUGUCCCCUCUCUUAUAAUGACACUUAGGAUUGCAUUAGAGAUCAGGUGAAUACUCCAAGAUAAUCUCCUAUCUCAAGAAUCUUUAAUGACUCUAGACAGCCUUUGCCAUAUAAGGUAAUAUUCACUGAUUCCAGGGAUUAGAAUGUGGCCAUUCGGAGUAUGAGGCCAUCAUUCAGCCUCCCACAACUGUAGUAAAUAGGAGAGGUCUACACAGGGAACUUUUCAUAUACUGAUAAUGUUCAAAUUCUUAAGUGAUAAAAACAUAGGUGUUCAGCAUUUAAGUGGCAGAAAACAAGAAGAAAUGGGAGUAUUUCUACUGAGUGAGUAGUUUGGAGAAGUUAGAAAAUAUAUGGUAAAUUCAAGCUAUGAUGAAUUAUCCUAGUUCAAUUGUGUUACUAUAAAGGAAUACCUGAGGCUGAGUAAUUUAUGAAGAAAAGAGGUUUAUUUGGUUCACAGUUCUGCAGGCUGUACAAGAAGAACGGUGCCAGCAUCUGCUUGUCACUAAGGCCUCAGGCUGCUUGCACACAUGGUAGAAGGUGAAGAGGAGCCUGCAUGUACAGAGAUUACACAGUGGGAAAGGAAGCAAGAGAGAGGGAAGGGAGGUGCUAGGCUUUUCUUAACAACCAGCUCCCACAGAAACUAAGAGUGAGAAUUCACUCAUCUCCAGCUCCCAUCAGAGGGCAUUAAUCUAUUCAUGAGGGAUCUGCCACCAUGAUGCAAACACUUCCCAUUAAGCCCGACCUCCAAUAUUGAAGAUCAAAUUGAAACAUGAGAUUUGGAGGGUUCGAACUUCUAAACUAUAGCAUGACUACACUCAAGUGACUUGAAUAUGGGAUGUGGUGGAGUAUAUCAUGAAAGAGGUUUAAAAGGUUACAGCCAAAUAAUAGGGCACCUCAAAUCUCUUGGUAAUAAUUUUGGCAUCAUUCUGGAGGUCUUACAGAGUGAUUAAAUGUUUUUGAGUCAGUGGGAAUCAAACCAAUGUGUUAAUUCAUCGUAUAAAUACAUACAAAUUAUAAUAGCAUUUAUUAUGUGGCAAGAAUGGCUUAAGAACUUUAAAUAUUUUAAAUCAUUUUAUUCUUGUAGCAUCCUUAAGAGUAAGCACUAUUAUUAUCAUCAUUUUACAAAUGAGGAAACUGAAGCACAGAAAUGUCAAGUGGCUUUCCCAAGGUCAUACCGCAAGUAAGUCACAGAAUCAGUAUUUGGAUCUAGGAAGAGAGCCUUCAGAGUCCUUGUUUUAAUUAUUUGCUCUACCAAGAAGAAAAAGAAGAGAGAAAAAAAGAAAAUAAAGAAUACAGACAGGCAGGUUAAUGAGAGAAAAAGAUAAAUAAUGAAGAACAAAAAGCAAGGAGCAAUAUUCUGAAGAGUUACAGACAUGAUGGAAUAAACAGCAAGUUGUCAAAAGGAGCUGCAAAUGCCCAUGUAUGCCCUUUCAGGAGCGCUAGACUAUCUGCAUGAGACAGAGAGUAAAUCCUGAUGCCAUCACUCAAACUAGACCUACAAGUGCCUCGAGUUCUUACAGAUCCCCAUCUUUCUGGGCAAAACAUCCAUCCUUCAAAUCAUUCCACAGGUUAAAGAACAAAUGUCAGGUUACACUCUUGAAUAGUACAGUCCUAUUUUCUCCCAUAAAUGCCUGCAUAGGACGUCUUCUUCAUAUGGACCCUAAAAUAUUUCUACAAGUAGUAGACAUUUUUUAGAACUGCAAUAAAGUAAUGUAAUAAAUGCAUUGUUUGAAUUUUUUCCUGUUUUAUAUAUGAUACCUGAGAUUAGAAUUGUGUCCCUUUUAUAUAAAAUUGGGCAGUUUUAUUUUGUGCCAUUUCAAAGGUAUUGUUCUAUAUCACUGUAGUUUCAGAUGUUUAUUUUUUAUUAUUUCAAAGUCAAAACAUGAAGAAGUAAGAUGUAUGUUUCUGUAUGCCUUUAAAAAUGCAAACCUGCAACAUUAAUGGGAACUUUCCCCAGGACACUUCAUUUCAGUUCCAACUGGCUGCUAAUUACUUACUCACAGUGGAAGUGUCACACUGCUUUCCUUUCAGCACUUCGUUGGCCAAGUGUCUCUGGCAAUAAUCUCUCAACACAUAAGCACCAUUCCCUUUCAUCACAUUAUUUAAUCAAUAAAGUAAUGUCCUCGCACUGGCCAGGCUCAGAGCCAUCUUGUCACAAGUGCUAAAUAAAUGAAACAAACACCAGUCCUGCUUCUACAACCUCUCCAUUAAUAAACAUGAACGGAGACGCCUUUAAUACAAAAUCCAUUCUCUCAAACGUUUAAAACUGCACACACAUGCACGUUUGCAAGACUAGAAGAGGAAUCAUUUAUAUGAUGGUGAGAAUAGACCAAGCAGCACUGGGCCAAGUCCCACUCACAAGUGGUGAGAUUACGUUAUUUCCAACUGGGACAAGUGCCCCUUCCAUGCUCUCCCAGGGCUGCUUGUUCCCAAGGGGUGAUGUUUCCUCAUCCAUGUUCUGUCUGUAAGAGGCAAGCACAUCAUGGCACUCCCUCUGCUGCUCAGUUUACAAAAGAAUGAUAGGAUGCCCCAUUUUUCCUUCUCUUUUUGCCAGGGGCCCUGCACUAUGGUAGUAUUGGGCUUCCAAAUAUAAAGUUUGGAUCCCAAUUCAUCCUCUCCUAUUUCUCAAUGGUAAUAAAACCAGAGGAGAGAAGGGUGAGUCUUAGCCUUAGUCUAACAGAUGCUGGCACACUCUAGGUAUGCAAUGUUAAAAGGAUAAAUGACUUAUUUAUGUAGCAUCAGAGUCACCUUCUUUAGAAGCUAGCAUUUAUUAAGCACUUAAUAUGUGGCAGGCACUCUUCUAAUAGGUAACUUGCUUAAUUCUCUCAUUUUAUACAUUGAGAAACUAAGGCUUGGCAAGGAUAAGUCAGUUAUCCAGAGUCCCAGCAGGUGAGAGCAAAGCUAGGAUGUCUUCAUUUCUCUGUGAAAAGUUAUUUCCAAUUGGAGUCCUAGAACUUUCAAGAUCCACCUUUUUUUUUCACUGUUUUUAUUUAUCUGUGCUGCCUGAGGGAAUACAUUCUUAUGACCAACUGGCAUUGCUGUCAGUGUUUCAAGAGUAAGCUCGCUAUCCCCAAGUUCUCUGGCAUUGAAGAAUCAGGAACCAUGUUUUUAUAAAUAAAAUCACUCUGUAAUCAUUCCACUUUCUGUGAAAAAUCUCACCACACCACAAUACUUCCAUGGGUUCCCAAAAGGUUCCCUGUGUCCGAUUCCUACUCUUUCUGAAAUCCCUCUCCUUGCCAUCUCACCUCCAGGUGAGUUCUUCCUCAUUCCCCCUCUGUCCCAAGCAUGGGAGAGCUCCUCUUCCUGCAUCACCCAAAGCACCAUUAAAUAAGGGUGCCAUGUAAAACUGACUUGUAUUGAGGAUUAUAGAAGGAAAUUAAAUUACACCACAGGUCAAAAACUAACUUCAAAUGGAAUAUUCCACACCAUAAAUAUAUUCAGCCAUUCUUCUACAAUAACUCUCUUACCAACCCUCUUCCCCGCUUAGGUCCUGACUGUUAUCCAUGUCAUCUUCCUACUAAGACCCUUUUAUUCUGUCUCCUCUACUCUAUAUACUACUCAAGCCCUAAACAACUCCUUCUUGAGCUUCCAAAAGACAAUCAUCAAACUCUUGUUACUUGAUGAUACAGAGCAAAUAAAGCACCCUCCCAAUGUCUAGGUGAAUUUUGGGGCACUUACUUUUCAUUCUAAAAAAACAAAAAAAAAAAUAAGGUUUUCCUUACAAAAAGAGAAAUCCUCUUUUUUAAGGGUGGCCACUUCAAAAUGAAGCCACCCAUUAUGUUUUUCUCACUGCACAAUUUUUAGAGUUCUAGAAAGUGAAUAGAGCCUUGUCUAAGCAGUCAAAGCUCUCAGCAGUGUGGAUAACUGCCCUUACCCUAAAACAAUGCUUUAUUUAAGAUGCCUAGAGGAAGGAUAUCCUAGUCAAAAUAUUCUUUUUUAAAAAUAAAAUAGAAAUAGCUCCUCCUGAGCUAUUUGACAAGUUAGUGCCACUUAGGGUGAGUGUCACACUCUUGAUGUUGUUCAAUAAAUAUUUGCUAAAUAAAUUGGUGAUUGCAGUCACUUCCCAAAGGAAAGAAGACAAAAGGUACAAGUAAAGUAAAAUUACUUUAUUUUCACUUUAAGAGCAAAAACUUUAAUAAUUGCCUUGAGUCUGUUUUAGCAGAAAUUAGGCACUUGGUUUUCAUUAGCAGAGGCAUUCAGAGAUAUUUCUGCUAAUGAAAAUCUAAAACCAGGCCUUUAAAAUGGCUUAGUGAUAGUGAUGAUUCUUAAGAGAGCUCAUGAGUUUCCCAGCCCUAUGGGACAUGUUGAUCAUUCAUUUUAUAGGUCAAAUGCAAGUGCGUUUAUUAAUGUAUGCUCUGAUCUAACCCACAUUGCAGGACUAACUUCACAGUGCUUGAUCAAUGAUACCCAAAUUAAUGGAUUCAUCAGUGCUGCCUAUUGAGACACCCUCGUCAUUUAUAUUGCAUUUCUUCCAACUCGUAAUUAGGCAUGUAAUCUGUGCAGUCUCUAAGUGGAUUCUUGAAAAGAAACCUACAUCAGAAGAAAGUGUGGAGAUUUUUAUUGUAUUGAUGACUUUGGCUCAUCAGUUGCUCCUGUUCUGUUACAUUAUUUCUUCUACAUCUUGACGGGUACUUUCUUUCUCAUGCUAAAGUUCCCCCAUUGUUACAAAUCCUUCAGUCAAAGAUUGUAUUCUACAUCAUGCCUUUCCUUUGUCCAUAAAAUUUCUGUUCCUACUACUUCAUUGAAAUAUUUAUUUCAAAAGUCUUCAAUAAUCUUCUAACCACAAAAUGUAAUUCCCUUUCAUAGACUCAGUAGCAUCUGGUAUUGCUAACCAUGCACUCUUAUUUGAAACCUUUUCACCUGCUGGACUCUAAGACAUUACCCUUUCCAGAUCCUUUUCCUGUCUCUCUGUUCAGAAUUCAUCAGUCUCUUUGUAGGAUCUCUUUCUACCAGCUUGUUAAACUUUCCUCCAAGUUCUGCCGCCUCGACUUGACAAUAUACUUGACAUAUAUACUUAUGUAUAUAUGACAUGACUAUAUACUCAUCUUGACAAUAUACUCAUUCCAAUGGCUUCUACAAUCACCUCUAGGUACAUAAUUUCCAAACUUAAGCCCUAAUGUAACUACUAAAGAGGAAAGCAAGGGAAGGAUGAAAUAAUAUGGUAGAAAUAAAUCCCCAAACGCCAUUAAUAAAAGCAAAUAUUAAAAAACUAAAUUCUCCAGUUUAAAAGAUCUUCAGUGAAGAUAAAAUACAAGUUGAUUACAAACUCUAAGAUUGAAUAAACAUAGAAAUUUGUUUGUAUGUGUUUGAAAGAGGAACGCCCAAAACAUAAAGACACAGAAGUUUGAAAGUAAAGAAAGAAACAAGAUAUCUGCCCUCCCACCACCAUCAAAAAAAAAAGCUUUUUUCACUACAUUAAUAGCAGAUAAAAUGCAAUUUAGGGCAAAAAAAAAGCAUAUUGAAAUGAAGAAGGUCAUUAUAUAUUAAAAGCAUCAAAAUUUAGCAGGAAUAUGUAAAAAUGGCAACUUGUAUGUACCUAAUAAUAUAGCCUCAAGACAUGAAAAGCAAAAAUCAGUUGAAAUGCAAGGAUAUAUUGAUAAUGGCAAAAUUAUAAUGAGAGAUUUUAUCAUCUUUCUUAGUAAUUGAUAAAUCAAAAACAAAAUAUUACUAUGCAUUGCUUCAUAUUUUGCAUAUAAAAAUGCAUCCACCAAUUAAACAUACUUUUCUCAAGCCUAUGUAGAAAAAUUAUAAAAAAUGAUCAUCUAUUAGAACAAAAAGCAAUUCUCAACAAAUAUUAAAGAAUCUCUGUCAUUCAGAUCAGCCUCUGAACAAGUACAAUCAGAUUAGAAGUCAAAUACAAAAAAUAAUCCCAUAUAUUUAGAAAUUUAAAAUUUAUAUAAUUUAUGUAUUCUAAUUACAAUGACCAUUUCAAAAUAUUUAUAAUUAAUUGAAUGAUGAAAAUUGUACAUAUCAAAACUUAUGAGAUAAAGCUAAAGCAAUAUUUUGAAAAAAUUUAUAUUCUCAAUGCUAUAUACAUUUUCAGAAAGAGUAAAAAUCAAUAACUCACCUAUGCAACUCAAAAAAUUAGGAGAGCAUCAACUACAAAGUAUAUAAAAUAAAAUAAUAACAGUAAAAGCAGAAAUUAAUAAAAUGUUUAAAAACAAGAAUAAAACUAAAAAGAAUCAGCAAAAAAAAAAAGUUGAUUUGAAAACAAAAAAAAACUAGUUAGACAAACUACUAGCCAAAGCAAUAAAGAAUAAAAAAGAAAAAAGACAAAUAGAAAAUAAUCUUAAAAGCAGACAUAAAGGACAUAGCUACAGAAACAGUGGAGACUUCUUUUUAAUCAAAAGAGAAUACUAUGGCCAAAUUCAUGCCAUGAAAUUUGAAAGUUAAGAUUAAAAGGACAGUCUCUGAAAAAAUAUAAUUUCUCUGACCCAUCUCCAGAAAUAAAUAACUUCAAUGGAUAUAUAACCUUUAGAACACAGAUAUUGAAUCCCUAAUUAAAAUCUACACAGCUCACUCUUCAGCAACAAAAUGAAACAAAGUUAAUCAAGCGUUUCAUACAUGGAGAAUAAUAUCUAACACCAUGGACCUUUUUUUUUUUUUUUUUUUUUGAGAUGGAGUCUUGCUCUGUCACCAGGCUGGAGUGCAGUGGGGCAAUCUUGGCUCAUUACAAUUUCCGCCUCCUGGGUUCAAGCGAUUCUCCUGCCUCAGCUUCCAGAGUAGCUGGGAUUACAGGUGCGCACCACCACACCCAGCUAAUUUUUGCAUUUUCAGUAGAGACAGGGUUUCACCAUGUUGGCCAGGAUAGUCUCGAUCUCCUGACCUCGUGAUCCGCCAGCCCCGGCCUCCCAAAGUGCUGGGAUUACAGGCAUGAGCCACCACGCCCGGUCCAUCAUAGACUAUUAGAACUGAAUGAAUCUUAGAGAGCAUCUGAUACAACCGUCCCCUGCAAACAAGGGAACUGAAGUUCAGAGAGAUGAAAAUAACAACCGCCACCACAACAGCUGCUAAUGUUAAUGGAGUCCUCACUAUGAGUCAGGUAGUAUGUUAAAUGCUUUGUGUGCAUUAUCUCAUUUAAUAUCAAUAACCCUGUAAAAUAAGUGCUAACAUUUUUGCUUUGCAUGUAAGAAAAUCGCUGCUUAUAAAAUUUAAAUAACUUGCCCAGGGUCACUUGGCUAAUAAGAGGCAGUAAGAUUCAAACUCAGGUUCAUCUGCCUGCAACACCUGUGCUCCUAGCUGCAGCGUGGCAAUCAGGAUGCAUAAGGUAAAGGCAUAGUAGAUACUUCAUUCCCUCUGACCCUUCUGUACUCCCUCCUGGUCCCCACCCCCACCAAGAAUGCCUUUCUAAUACUACACUAUCUCUUCAAGAACAAGUAAUUGGGAAAUAUUAGGAAUAAUAAUUCUAACACACACACACAUAUAUAUUGAGAUGGAGUCUGGCUCUGUCACCCAGGCUGGAGUGCAGUUGCGGGAUCUUGGCUCACUGC
Molecule: long non-coding RNA, 11182 nt
Filed under: Homo sapiens (human)
Lineage: Eukaryota; Metazoa; Chordata; Mammalia; Primates; Hominidae
Description: long non-coding RNA NONHSAT181958.1
Source: RNAcentral